UCUCUGUUCUCCUACUAAUCUCACUGUAACCCCCUCCAGGUCUCUGUUCUCCUACUAAUCUCACUGUAACCCCCUCCAGGUCUCUGUUCUCCUACUAAUCUCACUGUAACCCCCCUCCAGGUCUCUGUUCUCCUACUAAUCUCACUGUAACCCCCUCCAGGUCUCUGUUAUCCUACUAAUCUCACUGUAACC
Molecule: long non-coding RNA, 192 nt
Organism: Oncorhynchus keta (chum salmon)
Lineage: Eukaryota; Metazoa; Chordata; Actinopteri; Salmoniformes; Salmonidae
Exons: 3
Source: RefSeq, a predicted model, not a curated record